AUGAACGCUAGCGACAGGCCUAACACAUGCAAGUCAGGGGCAGCACAAGGAGCAAUCUGAGGUGGCGACCGGCGCACGGGUGAGUAACACGUAUGCAACCUGCCUGUAAGCGGGGAAUAACCCGUUGAAAGACGGACUAAUACCGCAUAAUACUAAAUUACUGCAUGGUAAUUUAUUUAAACAUUUAUGGCUUACAGAUGGGCAUGCGCAUGAUUAGCUAGUUGGAGAGGUAACGGCUCCCCAAGGCAACGAUCAUUAGGGGUUCUGGGAGGAAGGUCCCCCACACUGGUACUGAGACACGGACCAGACUCCUACGGGAGGCAGCAGUGAGGAAUAUUGGUCAAUGGACGAGAGUCUGAACCAGCCAAGUCGCGUGCAGGAAGAAUGUUCCCUAUGGAUUGUAAACUGCUUUUGCAGGGGAAUAAAGUGCAUCACGUGUGAUGUUUUGUAUGUACUCUGCGAAUAAGGAUCGGCUAACUCCGUGCCAGCAGCCGC
This 495-nucleotide ribosomal RNA is filed under the name uncultured bacterium. RNAcentral's name for it is "bacterial SSU rRNA". It matches the Rfam family "Bacterial small subunit ribosomal RNA", at positions 29 to 518 of the family's 1533-position model. The record is from RNAcentral.